This 209-nucleotide long non-coding RNA is filed under the name Prunus persica (peach). Its description in RNAcentral is "long non-coding RNA (PPER_LNC000417)". The record is from RNAcentral. Lineage: Eukaryota; Viridiplantae; Streptophyta; Magnoliopsida; Rosales; Rosaceae.
GGACCCAAAACAAAGUUUAGAAAAUAACAUAUGAACAUACUAACCCCACUGUAAAAACAGUUAUACCAACUAGCUUAUUUUCUUUAUUUCUGAAAUCAAUGCAUGUAUAUAAUUAUACAUUUGAAAACAGUUUAAAACUAUCACCUAGGUGUACCCUUAUUUCCGUCAAUUCCUUAUAUCCGUCAAUUCCUUGCAUCACCAUGGGUGAC